Long non-coding RNA from Apis laboriosa (Himalayan honeybee), 2543 nucleotides. RefSeq lists it as uncharacterized. The record is from RefSeq and is a predicted model, not a curated record. Lineage: Eukaryota; Metazoa; Arthropoda; Insecta; Hymenoptera; Apidae. The transcript is spliced from 4 exons.
AAUUUUACAGUCGAGUCACUUAAUUUCUCCUGACUACGAUUAACCUUACGUUCCACUUCUAUUUAGUAAUCGGAAUUUAAUCGCACGUUCAUCGGCCAACGCACAGGAUUACGCGAAUUUCUCGGCUGCCUCGGUUUUAUUUACGCUUCAUCACGGUUGCCUCGUUAGGAGGAACACUCGCGGCUGUAAUUAACUCUCCGCGAGCCGAUGGAAUUUAUGCCGAUACGAUUUUUGUCAUAGAUUCUGCUACUUCUUUCUAACUGUAUAUACAUCGAAUAGAUCGACGUAUACCAUCGAUUAUCAUUGCUCCGUUAUCGUUGCGUAACGAGCUUGAAAACGCACGAGAUCCUUGAUCUCGUAGUUAGUCUUCAGACACAUUUGAAAGAUUCUUCAGACAAUUGCUCUCAAAUGUGUUUUCAAACUGUGUGUUCAUUUAAGAGCAACGUUUGAAAUUUUUCAUAAAUGGACGAUAGCUUUAUUCCGAAAGUUUUAUUAUUAAUUCACAAAUUGUAAUUAUAUUUCUCUUCAUCGAUCGACUCUUGCGACAGUUAUUCUCAGAAUACGAAACUGUAUCGGAAUUAAUUUAGAAAAUUCUCUUUUUCAGAUAAUUAUCCUCAACGCAAUAUCCAGUCGUGAUAAAUACUUUCAAGAGAAGUUUGCUAUAAUUUCACUCUCAAGUGGACACGUACCUUUCGACCGCAAUUUGUUCAAAUAAUUCGAAAGCAUCGGAUAUAUUAAUUUCACGCGGGUGAAGGGUACCCCGCGGUAAUUUUCAAAUUACAAGUUGGCCGCAGGCGAAGUACAGACCGUGGCCGUUCAGCCGCACUGGCCUUUAAGACAUUGUCUAAAUAAUAGUCUAAUGGAUAAGGUAUUCCAGGGCUGGGACCAGGCCGAUGGUGCCGCUUCCAAGAGUUGCUGCGUUGUGGUUACGCCAGUGUUUUAGAGGUUCUGGAAGUGGGUGCUCGGGCCGUUUUCUCCGGCAAACUGCCUCGUCUCUGGAUCCCCGGCUUGCACUUCAUUGGCCGCUCAACGGUCGUUGCUAACCCGGUUCUUGAAGAUUCAUCCCCGUGUGUCUCGUGCCGACGUGGCCUGAGCUCUUAUGGUUCCUGAACGCGAGGUACUCGAGUGAUCAUCCUCCGACGGAAGUUCUUGGAUGGACGACUUCUUCGAUGGAAAAAAAGUGUUCGAAAAGGUUAAUCUCAUUACGAGACCCUUGGGAUCGAGAUGUGGCCGGGGAUCGGGAAGAUUUCUCAACACGAGGAAGCUUUGAUGUCGGAAGAAUUGACACUGGUUAUCGCCGGUGAAGCAAAUAAUCAUCUCGACGAUGCUCUUUCGAAAAGAAGCAUAGAACCUAUAUCUAUAGCGAAGAAGCGCGGUAACGACGAGUGGAGAUCAUAACAGUUACCUUCCAGGAAUCAAUUGGAUCGCGAUGCUGAACAGUUAUACCAAUGCCAUUCCCUGUCCUAGACAAUCGUGCUUGACAGUUGCAGUACAAGGAUCGGCAAAGAAGCUUUCUCAACCACGAUCCUUCGCCGAAAGAAAUUCUCUAAUUAAAAACUCUGAACAAGAAGAGGAACAACUUACAGAGUUCGUUCACCCGUGUAUCUCGAAAAGUUUCACCUCGGAUAGUGGAAGUUGUAUAAAUUGUCCUUGAGACGAAUGAACCGUCACGUCCAUUUUGCCGAUAACACUUUUCGUGCGUUUCUGACGUAAACGAUUGUUACACAUCCGGAUUUAUCUAGAUUUACAAAGCAGCAUCAUAAAAUAAAUUGUCAAGCUUAACACAAUUCUUUCUCGAAUCGUUAUAAUAUCUGUCGCACGAUGUUGCUCGUUAAUUUCUGUUAAUUUGUGGCGUAAUCGAAUGAGAAUCUGGGAACGUUAUCUUCUUCUUGGAUAAUGUUUCACGUAUAUCAUAGCGCUUACUUUUUCUAUGGUUUCUGCCUAUGAAUGGAUUCAGAAGAAGAUGAAUUGCGUAAUGAUAUUCUUUUUCUUUCCUUUUUCUUUUUUUAACUCUUCCUUUUAUUCUCUAUAUUUCGCGAAGGAUUAUCAUACAAUGAGAUUACACGGAUGAACGUCUGAAAAUGUAACGGGUUUAUGACAGUGUCAAGCGGUAAAUAAUACGCUGUUAAUUUGUGGCGGCCAUCUGACGCGGGGCUUAGCGCGUUUACUUACGGUUUCCGGUGAGCAAGAAAUCGCAUCGUCCGAUAAUCAUCUGCAAUGUUAUCUGGCUCACGAUCACGGACCGUGUCCUCGGUCUGAUAUGGCUAAAUUAGUUCUGGGAACGCGAUUACCUGCUACCAUGCAAAUUGAAGUAACGUGGAGCGUUACGCCCCUCUGGUUACGUAUGCUUGCGUACGUAUAUUAUUUCUUUGCCUGAAUUCUUCUUCCCGGUUGAUGUUAUUUUCUUACAAAUUGAUUUUUAAUUUUUCAACUUCAAAUUUAAAGGAUUAUCACUUCCUCUCCAAAAAUUUAAUAUCAAGUUUACCAUCUACCAACCCAAUCGACACCACCUUGAUCAUGAAUUAAAAAGUCAAUCAACACGG